UCCUGUCUCCUCCGCCGGGGGGCCGCGUUAAAGGCGAGGACCCUGGACCCCGGCAUUUUUCUGUCGGCCCAACGCGGCGAGGCGGCGAGGUGGCUCGGUCUCCACCCGUUACCCAUCCUUCAAGGGCCACCUCGAGUCGCACCAUCUCCUGUUCGCCCACCCGGUUCUGGAGACCAGAACCUCCACCCCCGACUUUGUCCAGCCCAGGGUGCUGGGCGCCUGCCAUGUGGUCCUUGCCGGGCUCCCAGCCUCUCUUCUGAAGGCGAUUGCAGUGUUUUAAGGCAUCAGGACCAGACUCCCGCUGGGCACCUGUAUCCUGGCAGAAACCCGGACAUGGAGGGAAGGGAGCCCCAGAUAAUCCCUUCACCCAUCCACAAGGAAGGAGUCUUCACCAGCCCUGACGCCUAUGGUGGCCUAAGCCUAGCUCAUCCUGGAAGGCGGGGGGUCUUGCUGUAGCUGUCAGCGAGGACCAGUGCUCCACCUGCAAGCAGAGAAGCCCAGAGCAGCUCUGACUCUCAGACUGCUCCAUCCUUACUGGCUCCUUCUUGUCCAAGGAUGCACUGAAUGGAGCAGUUGCCACAAGUGCAGUAUGUACUGCUUCUUGAUUGUCAAGAGGCACCCCCAUUUUAUAGAGAGCAAAAGUGAGGCCGCCUGAAGCAGCCAAAUUUACGAAAGAAACAGUGGUGGCAGAACUGAUGCUUGGGGCCUGAACUGCAAAUGUGGAAUCCUCUGUGCAGGUCUGAUUGUCCCAAGUCAAGGCCAAUGUGGUAGAUGGAGAACAAAGGGGCAACUGAAAUGAGAAAGGGGGUGGGCAAGUGAUCGCAGGAAGAGGAGCCUCACUUUGGAAGGAUAAAGACAGAGAGGGGAUGAGAUCAGAAGCUAUGCGGUCAUGAAUACUACUUAAAGGCAAACGUGGCCUGGCUUCUCAAACCUCAGAACCCUUGAGAAGCGUGAGAGAAGUGAAGUCCCACCUCUUAACUGAACAAGACUCACUAACCCUGAGAGGUGAGAGGAUAAAUGGAUUCAGAAAAUGUUUAGAGCAACUCAUAGACGGGUGUGCCACAAAACUAGGUUUGUGAUUGGGGCAUAUUCCUGCUGCAUUAGUCAGGGUUCUCGAGAAGCAGAAGCAAUACAAUAAAUAUAGGCUGAGAAGCCCCACCAUCUGCCGUCUGCAAGCUGAAGACCCAGGGGAGCCACUGGCGUAAGUCCCAGUCCAAGUGUGAAGACCCAAGAACCAGGGGUGCCGAUGGACAGGAGGAGAUGGAUGUCAGCUCAAGGAGAGAGCAAAUUCACCCUUCCUGCACUUUUUUUGUUCUAUUCAGGCCUUCAGUGGAUUGGAUGAUGACCACCCACAUUGGUGACAAUGAUCUUUACUCAGUCUACCCAUUCGAAUGCUAAUCUCUUCCAGAAAAACCCUUACAGACAUGUUUUACCAGCCAUCUGGGCAUCCCUUAGCCCAGUGAAUUUGACCUGUAAAAUUAACCAUCACACCCGCCCUGUCCAAAUGCCCCUUCCACAGAGUCCUGGGCUGGUACCACAGAAAGUUCUCGUACUCAGGGAUGAUCUAGUCCAGUCCUUUCCACGGAUGGCCAUCCUCCUAAAUGCAAUCAGGUCUCGCCCAAAGCACUGGGCUCUGUGCUGAGAGACAGGCAGACAGGGCUUCCUUGCUGAAUCUUGAUUUCUCAGAGGGUUUACACAGGAAGAGAGGGCCACAACAUGCUGGAGAGAGGGAGAGCUUUCUGGGAGGUAACUGGGCAUUAUAUUUCAAGUCCUUGAAAAUGUGCGCCUUCCCUGACAUGACAACCGCACUUGUAGAAGUAAUCUAUAAAUAAUCAGGGCUGCAGAUCAAGAUCUGGAACAGGGCAGUUCAUCACGGCAUUAUUUAUAAUAACAAACAGUAGGUAACCCAGUGGCUAAUGGUGACUAUUGGUAAAAUAAAUUAUGGUACAACCAUGCAACGACAUACCAUGCAGCUGUUAAAAAUUGUGUUCUCAAAGAAUGUUUGAAUAAAUGGGGAAAUGCUCAUAGUAUAUACCAUAGGUUAAAAAAAAGAGAAUACAAAACUGCAUAUACCGAUGCAGUCCGAUAGAAUUCUGUGAUGAUGGAAACGUUUGACAUCUGCACUGUCCAAUAUUGUAGCCACUAGUCACUUAUGACUACUGAGCACUUGAAAUCUUUGGCUAGUGUGACUGAGGAACUGAAUUUUGAAUUCGAAUAAAUUUAAAAUUUAAAUAGCCACACGUGGUUAAUAGCUUCAGUAUUGAGCUGCACAGGUACGGUAUAAUUCCAACUGUAUUAAGAAAAGGUAUGUAAAAACAAAGGAAAAAAGAUUGAAAGAAAGGAUCUGGAAAUGCAUAUAGUAGUUUUCUCUGUUAGUGAGAUUAUGGGAGAUUUAAAUUUUAAUUUUUCUGCUUUCAAAUAUUCCGACAAUAAACAGUUUCAUUCUAUAAUGGGAACGAUAAGAGAGGGGUAGCAGAAGGGGGAAGAAGAGAGAGGAACAGCCAUUGCAGGCACGGCUCCUGUUGGCGGGAAGGCCCCAGCGCUGGCGGAGCUGGCCAAGCUGGCCUGGGAGCCGGGGUAAUCUGCCUCGCACAGGGCUUGUUUUGACAGGAGUGUUGUGCCUCUGGUGGCUUGGGGCUUCUCCAAGUGGCAGGGCGACCUAGCUGACACGCUACAAACUCGAUUUAGCUGGUGUGAGCAUGUGUGUGUGUGCACGUGGGUCUUGCCAUCUGUUGCCAACCUGGCAGUGAAGUGUUGCCUCCUCAGCUGUGUUUGUUGAGACUUGGGCGGAUUUUGUUGUUUGAAUUUCUUGCUUGCUUCCCAGGCCUUACUUCAGCUGCUUCUCCGAGUUCCUGUUAACUUUAAGGAGCUUCCAGCUAAGCUCUUUGCUGGCCCUCCAAAGCCUUUGAGAAUCGGAGAAAGCUCCUGCAGGUGGGUCUCAGCAGACAGCACGGAGGAGACCAGGGCCUACUCACUAUGGUUUGCUGGUGCGUCAGGAAUUUAGGAGUUUGAAUUAUUUGAAGUGGCAAGAAUAAAGGAAGAUGGAAUUUUCCUAAAUACAUAGCUGGAGGCUUUUUAAGUUUUUAUAAGUAGGGAGGCCAUAGUAGUGGUUCUCAAACUUCAGAGAGCUUAAGAACCGCCUGGCCUGGCUGCUUGUUAGAAAUGCAGAUUCUUAGUGUUAAACCCCCAGGAUUAUUUACACCCCCCUCCCCACCCCGCAUUUUACGGAUGCAGAAAUGGCAGGCAGGGGAGACAGAGCGCCAAGCCAUGGCCUGAGGGCACCUGCUAGUCAGCAGAGCUGGGAUUAGACUCGGCUGUCCUGACUCUCCAACAUGCGUGUCUUUCACUAUAUCCUGCUGCCUCUCAGCCGCCUGCGGCUGAUGUUUGCCGUUAAGGAAAGCGUUAGAUCAAAGUGAGGUCCAACCAAUUCUAUAACACCAGCUCGAUGUCCAACCAUUCAAUUCAAUCCUGUCCCUGACUACUCAGAGUUCCACUCUACUCCAACAGAACUGUGAAGUCCAGCUAGAGACAAUAGUAAAGAUGAGGCAAUCUGAUUAGGCAAUCUGAUGAGGCGUCUGGGACAGAGAGGGCCCACUCUGCCCUAGACAGUGCCCUCAAGCACCCAAAGAACUUCGACUUAAAAAUGUCUUCCAGCGGCCGGCCCAAUGGCCAAGUGGUUAAGUUUGCACGCUCCACUUUGGUGGCCCAGGGUUUCACUGGUUCGGAUCCUGAGCGUGGCCAUGGCACCACUCGUCAGGCCGUGUUGAGGCAGCAUCCCACAUGCCACAACUAGGACCCACAACUAGAAUAUACAACUAUGUGCUGGGGGGAUUUGGGGAGAAAAAGCAGAAAAAAAAUUAAAAAAGAAAUGUCUUACAUUUGCCAGUUAGGGUGCCUCAAACGUGGGCAGACUUAGGUUAUAACGCAAAGAUGUUAACUGGGAGAAGUAGGGCAUUAAAUCAUUAACAGAAAUUAGUGGGACUAGUCAAAGAGGAUAGCUUCCUGCCCUCCCUGCAGAGGAGAGCAGGGCAGCUGGCCCAGCAAGUCUUCCACACCCUGAGGAGUCUGGCCACACCUCCCACUGAGAGAGGGCACCCACAGUAGCCUCAUGUCAGAGCUGUGGCCCAAGGGCCUUGGGGACAGCUCAGGAUGCUGAGCAGAGUUUCAAGAAAGACAGCUCCAUAACUUCCACUAGAAAACCCAGACAUUGACUGUAAUUCACU
Molecule: non-coding RNA, 4223 nt
Organism: Equus caballus (horse)
Lineage: Eukaryota; Metazoa; Chordata; Mammalia; Perissodactyla; Equidae
Source: RefSeq, a predicted model, not a curated record